UUAAGGUGAAACCGCGAAAGGCUCAUUAAAUCAGUUAUGGUUCCUUAGGUCGUACCCACAAUUACUUGGAUAACUGUGGUAAUUCUAGAGCUAAUACAUGCAAACUGAGCUCCGACCGGAGACGGAAGGAGUGCUUUUAUUAGAUCAAAACCAAUCGGUGGCGGGUUCGCCCGUUAUCGUACAACUUGGUGACUCUGAAUAACUUUACGCUGAUCGCACGGUCAUCGCACCGGCGACGCAUCUUUCAAAUGUCUGCCUUAUCAACUGUCGAUGGUAGGUUCUGCGCCUACCAUGGUUGUAACGGGUAACGGGGAAUCAGGGUUCGAUUCCGGAGAGGGAGCCUGAGAAACGGCUACCACAUCCAAGGAAGGCAGCAGGCGCGCAAAUUACCCACUCCCGGCACGGGGAGGUAGUGACGAAAAAUAACGAUACGGGACUCAUCCGAGGCCCCGUAAUCGGAAUGAGUACACUCUAAACCCUUUAACGAGGAUCAAUUGGAGGGCAAGUCUGGUGCC
This 515-nucleotide ribosomal RNA is filed under the name Trigonopterus sp. 615 MB-2015. Its description in RNAcentral is "SSU rRNA". It matches the Rfam family "Eukaryotic small subunit ribosomal RNA", at positions 76 to 568 of the family's 1831-position model. The record is from RNAcentral. Lineage: Eukaryota; Metazoa; Arthropoda; Insecta; Coleoptera; Curculionidae.